AUUUACCACCAGUUUACUAUCAGCAUAUCAGAAGCUCCUUCAGGUCCAUAUAUGAGGGGACAAAGAGUGUAUGAAGUGCGGCACUUUGCCAAGAAACUGGCAGUCAUACACCAUUGUCAGUGUUCAGUAACCUGUAUGGCAGGAUUGGACUCUGGGAGAGGCGCCACUCGCCACAGUUCCUGCAGAGUGCAUGUUGAUGCAGACCAUUAUCUCGUCUUCAACCCUAGACCCAGCAGAUCGUCACACACAUCAUGCAGUGCUGCUCGUCUGCUUUUUGGCACGUCUCACAGAAAGAGGCCACCCCCACCUUUCCCCCUCUUUACGGUCCCAGCGAGCAGUGGAAAUUAAUGAACAGGAGAAGAGAACACCACAACAUCUGCAUCUCUCGCUCCUGGAUGGAAGAAGGAAUGGAAGAAUAACGAUCCAGCGACUGCUGGGAGGAGUUAGUGCAGUGGAUCAGGCAGAAGGUCUGUCUCCGCUCAUCUCAUGGUUGUCCUCAUUGAAAGUGUGCUGGAUCUAUGGCUUUUUUAAUUGCUCUGUGUUUGAGCGGUGCUGAGGCUUACUGUCAGAGUGCAGAUCAAUCAUCCUGUGCUCCUCUAUUCCAUGACUCCUAUCCCACUUGAUGGAAUAUAUUUUAA
This is a long non-coding RNA of Carassius carassius (crucian carp), 638 nucleotides long. RefSeq lists it as uncharacterized. The transcript has 4 exons. The record is from RefSeq and is a predicted model, not a curated record. Lineage: Eukaryota; Metazoa; Chordata; Actinopteri; Cypriniformes; Cyprinidae.